GAGUUUGAUCGUGGCUCAGAUUGAACGCUGGCGGCAGGCUUAACACAUGCAAGUCGAGCGGGGGAGAUUGCUUCGGUAAUUGACCUAGCGGCGGACGGGUGAGUAAUACUUAGGAAUCUGCCUAUUAAUGGGGGACAACAUCUCGAAAGGGAUGCUAAUACCGCAUACGCCCUACGGGGAAAGCAGGGGAUCACUUGUGACCUUGCGUUAAUAGAUGAGCCUAAGUCGGAUUAGCUAGUUGGUGGGGUAAAGGCCUACCAAGGCGACGAUCUGUAGCGGGUCUGAGAGGAUGAUCCGCCACACUGGGACUGAGACACGGCCCAGACUCCUACGGGAGGCAGCAGUGGGGAAUAUUGGACAAUGGGGGAACCCUGAUCCAGCCAUGCCGCGUGUGUGAAGAAGGCCUUAUGGUUGUAAAGCACUUUAAGCGAGGAGGAGGCUCCUGUAGUUAAUACCUACAGAGAGUGGACGUUACUCGCAGAAUAAGCACCGGCUAACUCUGUGCCAGCAGCCG
RNAcentral lists this ribosomal RNA (514 nucleotides) under uncultured microorganism. Its description in RNAcentral is "bacterial SSU rRNA". It matches the Rfam family "Bacterial small subunit ribosomal RNA", at positions 9 to 517 of the family's 1533-position model. The record is from RNAcentral.